AGAAUGUGGGUGAUAAGGUCCAUAUUCGAAAGGGAAACAGCCCAGACCACCAGCUAAGGUCCCAAAAUAUAUGUUAAGUGGAAAAGGAUGUGGCGUUGCCCAGACAACUAGGAUGUUGGCUUAGAAGCAGCCAUCAUUUAAAGAGUGCGUAAUAGCUCACUAGUCGAGUGACACUGCGCCGAAAAUGUACCGGGGCUAAACAUAUUACCGAAGCUGUGGAUUGUCCUUUGGACAAUGGUAGGAGAGCGUUCUAAGGGCGUUGAAGCAUGAUCGCAAGGACAUGUGGAGCGCUUAGAAGUGAGAAUGCCGGUGUGAGUAGCGAAAGACGGGUGAGAAUCCCGUCCACCGAUUGACUAAGGUUUCCAGAGGAAGGCUCGUCCGCUCUGGGUUAGUCGGGUCCUAAGCUGAGGCCGACAGGCGUAGGCGAUGGAUAACAGGUUGAUAUUCCUGUACCACCAUUAUUCGUUUUAAGCGAUGGGGGGACGCAGUAGGAUAGGCGAAGCGUGCUGUUGGAGUGCACGUCCAAGCAGUGAGAUUGAGUGUUAGGCAAAUCCGGCACUCUUAAGAUUGAGCUGUGAUGGGGAGAGGAACUUGUUCCUCGAGUCGUUGAUUUCACACUGCCGAGAAAAGCCUCUAGCUAGAAUAACGGUGCCCGUACCGCAAACCGACACAGGUAGUCAAGAUGAGAAUUCUAAGGUGAGCGAGCGAACUCUCGUUAAGGAACUCGGCAAAAUGACCCCGUAACUUCGGGAGAAGGGGUGCUCUUUGAGGUUCACGCUUCGAAGAGCCGCAGUGAAUAGGCCCAAGCGACUGUUUAUCAAAAACACAGGUCUCUGCUAAACCGUAAGGUGACGUAUAGGGGCUGACGCCUGCCCGGUGCUGGAAGGUUAAGAGGAGUGGUUAGCGCAAGCGAAGCUACGAAUCGAAGCCCCAGUAAACGGCGGCCGUAACUAUAACGGUCCUAAGGUAGCGAAAUUCCUUGUCGGGUAAGUUCCGACCCGCACGAAAGGCGUAACGAUUUGGGCACUGUCUCAACGAGAGACUCGGUGAAAUCAUAGUACCGGUGAAGAUGCCGGUUACCCGCGACAGGACGGAAAGACCCCGUGGAGCUUUACUGUAGCCUGAUAUUGAAAUUCGGUACAGUUUGUACAGGAUAGGUAGGAGCCUUAGAAGCGUGAGCGCUAGCUUACGUGGAGGCAUUGGUGGGAUACUACCCUAAUUGUAUUGGAUUUCUAACCCGCAGCACUUAUCGUGCUGGGAGACAGUGUCAGGCGGGCAGUUUGACUGGGGCGGUCGCCUCCUAAAGAGUAACGGAGGCGCUCAAAGGUUCCCUCAGAAUGGUUGGAAAUCAUUCAUAGAGUGUAAAGGCAUAAGGGAGCUUGACUGCGAGACCUACAAGUCGAGCAGGGUCGAAAGACGGACUUAGUGAUCCGGUGGUUCCGCAUGGAAGGGCCAUCGCUCAACGGAUAAAAGCUACCCCGGGGAUAACAGGCUUAUCUCCCCCAAGAGUUCACAUCGACGGGGAGGUUUGGCACCUCGAUGUCGGCUCAUCGCAUCCUGGGGCUGUAGUCGGUCCCAAGGGUUGGGCUGUUCGCCCAUUAAAGCGGUACGCGAGCUGGGUUCAGAACGUCGUGAGACAGUUCGGUCCCUAUCCGUCGUGGGCGUAGGAAAUUUGAGAGGAGCUGUCCUUAGUACGAGAGGACCGGGAUGGACAUACCUCUGGUGUACCAGUUGUCGUGCCAACGGCAUAGCUGGGUAGCUAUGUAUGGACGGGAUAAGUGCUGAAAGCAUCUAAGCAUGAAGCCCCCCUCGAGAUGAGAUUUCCCAACUUC
This 1832-nucleotide ribosomal RNA is filed under the name Staphylococcus pseudintermedius. RNAcentral's name for it is "partial 23S ribosomal RNA". It matches the Rfam family "Bacterial large subunit ribosomal RNA", at positions 984 to 2821 of the family's 2925-position model. Lineage: Bacteria; Bacillati; Bacillota; Bacilli; Caryophanales; Staphylococcaceae. The record is from RNAcentral.